RNAcentral lists this transfer-messenger RNA (390 nucleotides) under Candidatus Uhrbacteria bacterium CG_4_9_14_3_um_filter_41_35. It matches the Rfam family "transfer-messenger RNA". Rfam says of the family: Bacterial tmRNA, also known as 10Sa RNA or SsrA, is named for its dual tRNA and mRNA-like properties. Its role is to liberate the mRNA from a stalled ribosome. RNAcentral also lists the same sequence under 1 other name. The record is from RNAcentral. Lineage: Bacteria; Candidatus Uhriibacteriota.
GGGCCUGCCAGGAAUCGAUGGCAGAAUCAGACUACUUUUACAAUCAAGUCUGGGGGUGUUCACCCAGUUAUAGCCGGACACAAAUGACUACACGCAAACGUAUUCACACAGGCUCGUAACGCAUUUAGCGUUCAAAUGCCUGCUCUAGCACUCGCUUAAUAGCUGAGGCUCAUCAAACUCGCGACAUCUACUAGUGAGAUCUUGGUGUUAUAUAAGUAGAUAUGAGCCUUCCCUGCUGACUUUGGAAGAACUCAAGAUUUGCAAGUCAGAACUAUCCAACAUUUUUUCUGCGCUUUAUAUGUUGGGUUGUAAAUAAGCGCGGAUAAACUUGUAAGCAAUUGUUUGGGGGUCUCUGACCAGACGGGAGUUCAAUUCUCCCCAGGUCCACCA